AAAAACUUAAAAAUACGUGCAAAAAAGUCAAACGACCUAUAUUUCAAAACGGAUGGAGUAAUUAUUAACAAUAUUGAAUUAGUCUACUAUUAAUCUAGACACUUGCUAUUUUUUUGCUAAUUAAAAGGUAAUGUCUUCCUCCUGGUCCAAACCAGACACCUCGAAACCAUCUGCUUAUCAGUGUUGGCACCUGGUUACAGGAUAGUGGUUUUUGGUGAUGUUACUUGGUCAAAGCUUAACAGAACACAUGACUGGAAGCUUAUGUGUGCAUGCCUUGUAAAUUAUUGGGAGAAUGACAAAGCCCAGAGGCCAGAUUUUAAGUUGUUCUUGUUCACUUCCCCUGUUUUUUUCCAGAAGGUUCAGAAUACCAAGCCAUGUGCCACACAGCAGUGCUGUGGCCGUCUCCUAUUCAAGUAUUCAACUAUGCAAGUAAUGCUCGACUUCUGAAAUUAUUUUGGGGCCAUCUACUGCACUCUCGGGCGCAAUUACUUGUCUAUUACUCGUUUUCGCCACAGGGUUACUCGUCUGAUCACUGCACAAAACGUUGCUGAAAUAGUCCGAGAAAUGUGUGGGCAUGGCCUAUUACUUAUUACCUAUCCCAGGUUUCCCAUAUGCGCCAUACUGUGCUACUUUGGUCCUUGUAAAACUUCUCUCGAUUAUGGCACUUUGUUGGUCUGCUGUAAACUGUUUACCAAGGCAGAUUACCACUUUAAGCAGUUCCGCACUUGGCUAGCUUUCAGGAGUGAAAAUGCUAUAAAAUUAACAAGAAUUGGAAGAUUAGAGAGCAACACACUGCAAAAUUUAGUUAGGUUCUGGGGAAAAAAAAUCUAUCUAUACUGUGCUAUAAUAACAAAAAUGGGUUAGGAUCAGGUUAAAAAGAAAAAUGCUACAUGCACAUAAUUGGAUACAGAAAUAUUCACUCACAGAAUGAGUAUGUGUCAACUUGUGAUUGAAAUGGGCCCUCUGCACAUGCAUUAAUAGCACCAAUUAAAACUCUCCACCUAGAUUGCCAUGUCAUUUUGUGUAAAAUUAUGUACCCAAUUUUGUGCAUGUAGCACUACUCGGUUAAAAAUUUGCUGUUUGUUGAUAAUUUUAUAUAUUUACAUAAUUUGAUUUAUAAUAUAAAAAUUAAUACCUUUAAUAUGAUUUGAUGGUGAAAUCUAUGAUUCUAUGACAGCCAAAAAUUGAAAAUUUUUAAAUUCAUCAAGUAAUUUUUCAGGAACAAAAGCUGCUCUUGAUUUAAUGCCGGAGCCUUAAGUUGUUAACAACUACGGUGCAGCACCAACAACAUAUAUCUUAAAUUUUUUUAUAAUUUACAUACAAUGUUUUAUAUUAAUCAUGGUGCAAUGUUUUAGAAUAAAAAAUUAAAAUUAACUAAUAAAUUUUAUAAACGAUGAUUACUUUUUCAUCCACCUAUGUAAUGUUAUUAUCGAAAUUUACAAAGUUUGUUUGAACAUGCAUGUUUUGAGGCAGAGGUGUAGUAAAUAUUUGAUUUUAUCUUCUGAUUCUUUGCAUGAAUAUGGGCUCAUUGCUGCUGCCGCAUAAUUUAGUUCUAACUGAGAUACUGACGCGAGUACCUAUUGAAUCUCUUUUAUGUUUCCUCUCUGUUUGUAAAUUAUGGAAGCUUACAAUUAUCGACCCCUCGUUAGUAAAAUCUCAUAUGAAUCGCACUUCCCAAAACCCCACUGAUGAAAAUCAAACGUUGAUUGGUGCCUUUGCAUCUGGCAAAGCCUAUAUUCUGAAAGUAACAGAGGUAAUGGACGUGGUAUAUUUUUCCUAUGAUAUUACAAGUGCUGAUACCUUCUCGGAAAUGGUGAAGGAACUAGAGAUUGCUGAUAGGGAUUCAAGUGAAAAUCACAGAUGAAGAUGUGGAACUUCCAACUUGGUUCAAAACUUCCUAUUUAAAUUGCACAGAGGUUCAAUUGCAACGGAAGCGAUGACGGAGAUUGUACUGUACCAUCCUCCACCCUUUCUAUUCCCUCUUCCAAAUUAUUUCAUGUUUCUCUUUAACUAGUGAUUGGACUUAAGGUCACUGCAAUUUGUUUUUCAACUUUACUAGUUAGAAUUGAAUCGAUUUCUUCUUCAUCUGAGUUGAUUGUAUUGAAUGUUUGAGCGAACCUCAAUUGUAAAAAUGCUACACAUAAACCUAAUGUAUUUGAUCUAAAAGCAGAACUUUGAUCAGUUGGAUGUGUGUUGGCUAAACAGUAAGUCCAGUAUGUAUAAUUUUUUAAUAAAGAAAACUAGUACUCCAGUACGUAUACAAAGGUUGCUCCAAUAAACUUUUUAGUAGGCAAUCUUUUAAGUUUAAUUAAUAUCGUUAUGUUUUUCGUAAAUUCUGGUAACUACGUUUAAGGAUGCAGCCUGACAAAACUUGUAAAUCUGUACAAGCAGGCAGCCGCACUAUAAUUAGACGUUCAGAUAAUUGCAGCCAGCUUAUUCUAGAAAAAAAAACCAUAAAGGCAUGGAAUAACUUGAGUAUGGCAAAGCAGUUCCAAGCUUUAACAAUAAUCCAAGACAAAGAAUAGACAAGCAACAACUAAAUGUAUAAAUUAUCAUUGU
Daucus carota subsp. sativus is the source of this 2559-nucleotide long non-coding RNA. RefSeq lists it as uncharacterized. The record is from RefSeq and is a predicted model, not a curated record. The transcript is spliced from 3 exons. NCBI's taxonomy places the organism in Eukaryota, Viridiplantae, Streptophyta, Magnoliopsida, Apiales, Apiaceae.